CUCCAACUCCCCUUUCAGUGCCUCUUAAGGCACUAGAAGGGCCUCUAAGAUUUCCCUGGAGCCUACUCUUCUCCAGGCUGAACAAAGCCAGCUGUCCCAGCCUGUCUCCAGAGCAGAGGUGCUCC
Long non-coding RNA from Corapipo altera (White-ruffed manakin), 125 nucleotides. RefSeq lists it as uncharacterized. NCBI's taxonomy places the organism in Eukaryota, Metazoa, Chordata, Aves, Passeriformes, Pipridae. The transcript has 3 exons. The record is from RefSeq and is a predicted model, not a curated record.